RNAcentral lists this transfer RNA (69 nucleotides) under Camelus bactrianus (Bactrian camel). It matches the Rfam family "tRNA". Rfam says of the family: Transfer RNA (tRNA) molecules are approximately 80 nucleotides in length. RNAcentral also lists the same sequence under 2 other names. The record is from Rfam by way of RNAcentral. Lineage: Eukaryota; Metazoa; Chordata; Mammalia; Artiodactyla; Camelidae.
GGUGGAGCUUAGGGGGAGAGCACGUGCUUAGCAUGCACAAGGUCCUGGGUUCAAUCCUCAGAACCACCA